Molecule: long non-coding RNA, 1821 nt
Organism: Acinonyx jubatus (cheetah)
Lineage: Eukaryota; Metazoa; Chordata; Mammalia; Carnivora; Felidae
Exons: 6
Source: RefSeq, a predicted model, not a curated record
UUUUUCUUUUUCUUUUUUUUUUUUUUUUAGCAGCCGGGCUCUCCUGUUCUCCGUGGAAGGGGGAAUUUAUUUCAUUACGGGGAGUUCUGGAGGGGGUGGUAGGCCAAGCUGGAGUGGGCUUUAAGGCUCUUUCCAGCUGUUCAAAGGCAGGAACUUGGGGCUUCUUUGGAAUCUAUAUCUGAGCUAAACAAGAUGGCGCACAGAGAAGAGAGUGGUUCCUGGGCUCAGAGCUUCCUGCUCACGGUUCCGUGAAAUCACCCCUCGGAGGGUGAACUCAGUCGCCUCGGUGCUGCGUAGAGGCCUCGUCUCUGGCUGGCUGGCUGUGAGGCCUCGUCUGCACCCUCCCGUUUCUGAACCUCGGCUGCCUGAUCAACACAAGGCUCCAUCUCACAAACCGUGAGAUCAUGACCUAAGCCGAAAUCAAGAGUUGGAAGCUUAACCGACUGACCCACCCAGGUGCCCCGGGAAGGGCAUUUUAAAGCCUUCAGUAGAGCAAGAAAGUGGGACCGGAUGAACUCUGAGGACCACGCGAGACCCAUGAUGACCACAAAGGUCUGUAGCGAGGCGGCCCCGAAAGCAAGGUCUCCCUGCUCCCCUUGUUGUACCGCAGGCGAAAGGGGAAAUUGGAAGGCAAGCCCUGUGAUGGUGAGGACUUGAAAAUUGCUUCUAAUUUCCAAGUGUGUGGCAGAGAGAGAGACAGCCUGCCAAGGACACGGCCUAAGUCACCCUCCUUGUAAUGAGAGAAGAGGAGGAAGAGCAGUGAUUAAAUGUGCUUGAUAAAACUUCUCUAUUUCGUGUUUGGAAUAAAAAAGGGAAGGUUGAGAUAAAGCAGUGCUUGUUUGGUGUCCUUCAUGACACGGCUGAGCCGGGCAGGGCCAGUGUCUCUAAUCCUCCCCUGGUGAGCACAGGGGUGGGGCAGCUGGCACCCAGCUGGGCACCCACCCAGUGGGACAGAGAUGGGAAGGGCCUUUGCCACCAGUGGGAGGGUGGCAGUGGUGUCACAGAGGAGAAGCCAGAGCCAAGACGUGAGGGCAGAGCGGGAGGUCUAUCAGGUGGGGAGGCCGUUCCAGGCAAUGAACGGCGUGUGCAGGGUGUGGGGCCCCCUGGCUGGAGCUCCAUGCUGAGUAGGGGGGAACGUUCUGCCUCAGUUCUCCUCGGCCGGAUCCCGCCUCCAGAAGGCCGAGUCCCACCCUGUGCUCAGCACAGCGCUGGCCACUGCGGGGGAAACAGCAGACUGCUUGUUGUCCUGCUGGUGUGUCUUCCCCUGGGGGCCUGUUGACGCCCUGUGUGUGUCUGUCCGGGUGGCACGUGACAUCUUCUGGAGGUGAGUGGGCUGCGGCCCUGUCUCGUUCUCACACUCUGCUUGUCCGAUGAACUGGAAGGGCGGGGAGGGAGGGCAACCCCUCACUAGGCCACUGUCCUAGCCCAUCACCUUUUCUAUCUCAGAACAGGGCAGGCAGACGCAGAGGAACAGGUCUAGGGAGGCGAGGGCAAGGAUUGGGCCCCAAGCGCGGAGCCCAGAGUAUCCCUGGGUCCUGUCCCCAGCUGAGCUGGCUGAGGCCUCCCGCGGCCUCGUUGGCCACCCAGCUUCUCUGCCUGAGGAGGCCUGGUGAGGACUUCACUUGUGUCCUUACCACGAUCAUCCUCUGCUGACCCUGGCAGAGGCCGUGCCAGGCCCCUGGUGCCCCGCCCUGGCACUUACCCCAAGGGCCUGCCUUCCCAGUGCUCGGGGCCCAGGAGAGAGAAGGGACCCAGAGGGAGAGUCAACUAAUGCAUGUUUGGAUACAACCCGAAGCUGGCUGCGAAUCACAUACACACUCA